UCUAAACCCUUAAGUGUUAAGGAUUUCAGAA
Molecule: non-coding RNA, 31 nt
Filed under: Rattus norvegicus (Norway rat)
Lineage: Eukaryota; Metazoa; Chordata; Mammalia; Rodentia; Muridae
Source: RNAcentral